UACGUAGGGGGCAAGCGUUGUCCGGAUUUAUUGGGCGUAAAGGGCGCGUAGGCGGUUUCUUAAGUUUGGAGUGACAGUGGGUGGCUUAACUACCCAAGGCCUUUGAAAACUGGGGAACUUGAGGACCAGAGAGGGACAUAGAAUUCCGGGUGGAGUGGUGAAAUGCGUAGAUAUCCGGAGGAAUACCAAAGGCGAAGGCAGUGUCCUGGAGGGUAACUGACGCUGAGGCGCGAAAAGCUAGGGGAGCGAACAGG
This 254-nucleotide ribosomal RNA is filed under the name uncultured bacterium. RNAcentral's name for it is "partial 16S ribosomal RNA". It matches the Rfam family "Bacterial small subunit ribosomal RNA", at positions 524 to 776 of the family's 1533-position model. The record is from RNAcentral.